Parus major (Great Tit) is the source of this 433-nucleotide long non-coding RNA. RefSeq lists it as uncharacterized. Lineage: Eukaryota; Metazoa; Chordata; Aves; Passeriformes; Paridae. The record is from RefSeq and is a predicted model, not a curated record. The transcript has 3 exons.
GGCAGGCUCAGCUGGAGCCCUCAGGUGAUGCUGGGAGUCAAUAACUACAACACCUGGACCAGGGAAAGCAGCCUGGGGGAUGCCCGGGUGAAUCCUCGCUCUCGAUUCCCACUCGAGGUGUUAAUGACAGAUUAUGAGGCAUUGUGAUCUUCAAAGAUUGGCUUGAAUGAUUCUCCUGUGUUUUCCUUUCUAUGGACAGACCCUUAAUCCCCUGGAGAUCCCAAUCAGCUGAACAAAGAGGUCCAGGUUUUCUGGGAAAGCCUUAGGAUUUACUGCUGGGACAUGAUUAACAUUCUUGAGAACUUGAUUGCUUUUGACUGGAAAAACCCUGCAUUGGAAAAGAAAUGCUUCAAAGAAAGUGCUCCUUUUCCCAAGAGCUUUUGAAGGUGGGAAGAAUCACAGGCAGCUUGUUUUCUUCUUGGAAACAUUAAUA